UACGGAAGGCAGCAGUGGGGAAUAUUGCACAAUGGGCGCAAGCCUGAUGCAGCCAUGCCGCGUGUAUGAAAAAGGCCUUCGGGUUGUAAAGUACUUUCAGUCGUGAGGAAGGUGUUAAGGUUAAUAACCUUAGCAAUUGACGUUAGCGACAGAAGAAGCACCGGCUAACUCCGUGCCAGCAGCCGCGGUAAUACGGAGGGUGCGAGCGUUAAUCGGAAUUACUGGGCGUAAAGGGCACGCAGGCGGUUAAUUAAGUUGGAUGUGAAAUCCCCGGGCUUAACCUGGGAAUGGCAUUCAAGACUGGUUAGCUAGAGUCUUGUAGAGGGGGUAGAAUUCCAUGUGUAGCGGUGAAAUGCGUAGAGAUGUGGAGGAAUACCGGUGGCGAAGGCGGGCCCCUGGGACAAAGACUGACGCUCGAUGUGCGAAAGCGUGGGGAGCAAACAGGGAUUAGAUACC
Molecule: ribosomal RNA, 456 nt
Filed under: uncultured bacterium
Lineage: Bacteria
Description: bacterial SSU rRNA
Rfam family: Bacterial small subunit ribosomal RNA
Source: RNAcentral